This 253-nucleotide ribosomal RNA is filed under the name uncultured bacterium. Its description in RNAcentral is "partial 16S ribosomal RNA". It matches the Rfam family "Bacterial small subunit ribosomal RNA", at positions 524 to 776 of the family's 1533-position model. The record is from RNAcentral.
UACGUAGGGGGCAAGCGUUGUCCGGAAUCAUUGGGCGUAAAGCGCGUGUAGGCGGCCCGAUAAGUCCGCUGUGAAAGUCCAGGGCUCAACCCUGGGAUGCCGGUGGAUACUGUCGGGCUCGAGUCCGGAAGAGGCGAGUGGAAUUCCUGGUGUAGCGGUGAAAUGCGUAGAUAUCUGGAGGAACACCGGUGGCGAAGGCGGCAUCCUGGACCGGUAUUGACGCUGAUGCGCGAAAGCCAGGGGAGCAAACGGG